This 431-nucleotide ribosomal RNA is filed under the name ice nucleation active bacterium Py. RNAcentral's name for it is "partial 16S ribosomal RNA". It matches the Rfam family "Bacterial small subunit ribosomal RNA", at positions 903 to 1302 of the family's 1533-position model. The record is from RNAcentral.
CCCCCGGGGAUACGCCCCCCAAGUUUUAAAAUAAAAAGGAUUCCGGGGGCCCCCCAAGGGGGGGAACCCAUGUGGUUUUAUUUGAAAGCAACCGGAAAGACCUUUCCCUGGCCUUGACAUCUGAGACUUUCAGAGAAUGGAUUGUGCCUUUGGGAACUCAGACACAGGUGCUGCAUGGCUUUCGUCAGCUCGUGUCGUGAGAUGUUGGGUUAAGUCCCGUAACGAGCGCAACCCUUGUCCUUAGUUACCAGCACGUUAUGGUGGGCACUCUAAGGAGACUGCCGGUGACAAACCGGAGGAAGGUGGGGAUGACGUCAAGUCAUCAUGGCCUUACGGCCAGGGCUACACACGUGCUACAAUGGUCGGUACAAAGGGUUGCCAAGCCGCGAGGUGGAGCUAAUCCCAUAAAACCGAUCGUAGUCCGGAUGCAG